AGUUUCGGGUGAAAGGUGAGUCGGGAGGACGUAGAGAGAAGACGUUGGUAGUGGCAGCAGAGGAGUGCCUUCACCUCUUUCCCUAAAACAUGAGAGAAUCAAUGAGAAGAAGAUUCUAGAAGUCACCAAGAAGAUCAUUGAUCUGCUGACAGGAGAGGUUCCUAUAAGGUGUCAGGAUGUCACUGU
This is a long non-coding RNA of Rana temporaria (common frog), 186 nucleotides long. RefSeq lists it as uncharacterized. Lineage: Eukaryota; Metazoa; Chordata; Amphibia; Anura; Ranidae. The record is from RefSeq and is a predicted model, not a curated record. The transcript is spliced from 3 exons.